AUGGACCAUUCCAUCCCUUAUUCCCGUGGCUAUGCAUUGGAUUCGGAUGACGAAGGUCCCGAUGAACAAGUUAAUGAGGAGGGGUUCACGGUGAAGGAGGCCGAAACUUUCGAGAAGGUAUUCGGUCGGGAUCAUCGGACUACAUUGUUCAAGGAUGUUAGUCUCGCGGAUGAAGCCGUGGUAGAUGGUGGCCAAGGUAUAUCUCUUGGGGUUAGGCCAAGCUCUCAC
RNAcentral lists this ribosomal RNA (228 nucleotides) under Triticum aestivum (bread wheat). RNAcentral's name for it is "partial small subunit ribosomal RNA". Lineage: Eukaryota; Viridiplantae; Streptophyta; Magnoliopsida; Poales; Poaceae. The record is from RNAcentral.